CGGGUGCAUUUGUAACAAGCCUCAAAGAGCAGCUUCGAGCACCGGUGCUUCGAAAGCUCGACACAGUAUCGAAACCUCAGUAUCGAGCGGCCAAUCACUAGGCUGAGAUGGCUUUCCGUAGACGUUUCAUUUUGGGACACACCACUGGUAAUGUGACGUCAAGAAUGUCUAUUAUAGAAAAAAUCAAGAUUACUUUAAAAGGUUAUGAUGUGGGAAACAAAUUUUCACACUUACCAUUUAAACCUAAAGCAUCAGUACUUAUCCCUUUGUUUUUUAAAAAAGGAGAGGUUCAUGUACUGUUGACUGUUCGGGCCAAACAAUUAAAGCAUUUUGCUGGUGAAAUAUGUUUUCCUGGUGGAAAAUCUGAUCCUGUGGAUAAUAAUGAAAUAGACACAGCUCUGAGAGAAGCAGAAGAAGAAAUAGGGCUUCCACGUGAGAAAGUGAAUGUGAUCUGCAGACUUGUUCCAAUAAUUACCAAGGCUGGAACAUUGGUAACUCCAGUGGUCGCCUUUAUUGAAGAAAAGUUUCAAGCCCGGCCCAACCCAGAUGAAGUGAGUGAUGUAUUUUCUGUGCCUCUCGCCUACUUUCUGGAUACAACAGACCAUGACAGACAAUUCCUCCCAAGACAAACCAGUCAGAAAUUACAAGAGUAUUUGGAUUUUUUCACAUACCAGGAUCCAGAAACAAACAAGUCCUAUUUAAUCUGGGGUCUAACUGCUAGUUUGGCUUUGAUUGUUGCCUGGUUAACCUUUGGGACGAAACCCAGUUUUGUAUCAGCCUUUGACGUUAAUGAUAUGCUGACCCAUUUGGAAGCAAAGCUUAAAACACACCUGCAAAGCAACCUAUGAUAUAAUUACACAUUAACAGUACUAAUUGACAAUGGAAAUGACCAAAUUUUGGAUUGAAACUGAAUUCUUGCACAUGUAUGAGGAAGAAAAUCAUAUAUUCCAAGAGUGUGUAGCCCUUAAUGAAGAAAUAAUGUAACUGAUUAUGUCUGCUUUUCUUUGCAGAAAUAAAAUAUUUCCAAUAUGUUUGCCAAAUUGUGUAGAGAAUAUCAUGUAAGGGUACUCUGUUUUUCCUCAAACAACUCAAAAGACAUGAAGAUCAUAAUUGGCAAUUCAGAAUUGGCUUUGUGUGAGUAUGUGUGUGUGAAUGAACUCUGCUGAGUCCAGGCUAAGUUUCUGUCUUGUGCACUAUGCUGCCAGGACAGGCUCUGUGACCCAGAAUCGUGUUAGGGGGAUUUGUGAAAGGUAUUUAAUGUUAUAAAUAUAUCGAUAAGCCACAACAUUAAAGCCACUGACAGGUGAAGUGAAUAACAUUGAUUAUCUUGUUAUGUCACCUAGGAAAGUGUGGGAUUUAUUAGACAGCAAGCAAACAGUCAGUUUUUGAAGGCGAUGUUUUGGAAGCUAGAAAAAUAGGUAACUGUAAGGAUCUGAGCGACUUUGACAAGGGCCAAAUUGUGAUCAGAGCAUCUCCAAAAUGGUCAGUCUUAUGGGUUGUUCUCUGUGUGUAGUGGCCUUUUUAUAACUUCAUUUUAAUCAUAAUUUAACUUAAUCCUGAUACUCUGUAUGUUCAAUUCAUCAUAACAA
Molecule: RNA transcript, 1589 nt
Organism: Polypterus senegalus (gray bichir)
Lineage: Eukaryota; Metazoa; Chordata; Cladistia; Polypteriformes; Polypteridae
Gene: nudt7
Gene name: nudix (nucleoside diphosphate linked moiety X)-type motif 7
Exons: 5
Source: RefSeq, a predicted model, not a curated record